This 253-nucleotide ribosomal RNA is filed under the name uncultured bacterium. Its description in RNAcentral is "partial 16S ribosomal RNA". It matches the Rfam family "Bacterial small subunit ribosomal RNA", at positions 524 to 776 of the family's 1533-position model. The record is from RNAcentral.
UACGGAGGUGGCUAGCGUUGUUCGGAAUUACUGGGCGUAAAGCGCACGUAGGCGGCUUUGUAAGUUAGAGGUGAAAGCCCGGGGCUCAACUCCGGAACUGCCUUUAAGACUGCAUCGCUAGAAUUGUGGAGAGGUGAGUGGAAUUCCGAGUGUAGAGGUGAAAUUCGUAGAUAUUCGGAAGAACACCAGUGGCGAAGGCGACUCACUGGACACAUAUUGACGCUGAGGUGCGAAAGCGUGGGGAGCGAUCCGG